Lutra lutra (Eurasian river otter) is the source of this 413-nucleotide long non-coding RNA. RefSeq lists it as uncharacterized. Lineage: Eukaryota; Metazoa; Chordata; Mammalia; Carnivora; Mustelidae. The transcript is spliced from 5 exons. The record is from RefSeq and is a predicted model, not a curated record.
CGAGCCUUCGCCGGAAGCGCGCUUGUGUCGGCGUCUCCGGGCGCCGGAGAGAGGGAAAGCACAGGUCAUCAUUUGGGAGGAGCUUAUAUUUAUAAUCCCACACAAGAUAAUGAAUGUAGAACAUCUUUUCCAUUUUGUACAGCACUGACACUGCAUACCUGUGAGAGACUGGAUUUUCUUUGUGUACUUCAAACAAAUAACAUACGACAGUAGAUUCAGUGCAGAAGCAGACAUGAGUGUCCAGCUGUUUUUGAUUGAGGCAGACCUUAAGAUUAUCCCCAAAAGCUACAGAAGAUCCAGGUUAACAUGGCCCUUGGGAGGCUGGUGACGGAGACCAGGGUGCUCAUGCCUAUGGAGGAAGCCAAGAGCUCAUUUGUGGACAGUAUCCAGGAUGAAUCUGUGUAAAAUGCCAA